Molecule: long non-coding RNA, 480 nt
Organism: Mastomys coucha (southern multimammate mouse)
Lineage: Eukaryota; Metazoa; Chordata; Mammalia; Rodentia; Muridae
Exons: 3
Source: RefSeq, a predicted model, not a curated record
AGAGGUUAAAGGGUCUCUGGCUGGCUGAGCAUGGAGUCUGAAAACUGCUGCAUGGUAUAACCUCACUGAGGGACAGGGGAUCUUUAAAGAGAUGGACCCAGGGCAGAGUCAUGUGAUUCACCAAUAAACAAGGCAGUAACAUGGUGUUUGCCCUAGUUCCAGUGUCUCUGCCUUUGAAAAGGAAGAUUUUGAGGGUGGGAAGAACAUAGGCUCAUCUCAGUCAUCUCCAGUUCUGUACUGUGAUGAACCCAGAAACAACCAAUUAAAGUGAGGAACCAGUUAAAAGGAGUGAAGUGUCUGGAGCUCAUACUGCAUCAUACACACUAGAUAGUAAUCACAGUACAUGUCCCAUUAACUGUUCUUCUAACCUCUUGACUAAUGUAUUGUACUGGUGCUACCAAUUCUUUCUUUUUCAUUGUAUCUGUGCCCUUCUCUGCAGCUUUGCAGUUUCUUUCAUUAAAAACUUAGAGGCUGUACCCA